CAGGCCUAACACACGCAAGUCGAACGGUAGCACAGAGGAGCUUGCUCCUUGGUGACGAGUGGCGGACGGGUGAGUAAUGUCUGGGAAACUGCCCGAUGGAGGGGGAUAACUACUGGAAACGGUAGCUAAUACCGCAUAACGUCGCAAGACCAAAGAGGGGGACCUUCGGGCCUCUUGCCAUCGGAUGUGCCCAGAUGGGAUUAGCUAGUAGGUGGGGUAACGGCUCACCUAGGCGACGAUCCCUAGCUGGUCUGAGAGGAUGACCAGCCACACUGGAACUGAGACACGGUCCAGACUCCUACGGGAGGCAGCAGUGGGGAAUAUUGCACAAUGGGCGCAAGCCUAAUGCAGCCAUGCCGCGUGUAUGAAGAAGGCCUUCGGGUUGUAAAGUACUUUCAGCGAGGAGGAAGGCGUUGUGGUUAAUAACCGCAACGAUUGACGUUACUCGCAGAAGAAGCACCGGCUAACUCCGUGCCAGCAGCCGCGGUAAUACGGAGGGUGCAAGCGUUAAUCGGAAUUACUGGGCGUAAAGCGCACGCAGGCGGUCUGUCAAGUCGGAUGUGAAAUCCCCGGGCUCAACCUGGGAACUGCAUCCGAAACUGGCAGGCUAAGUCUUGUAGAGGGGGGUAGAAUUCCAGGUGUAGCGGUGAAAUGCGUAAGAUCUGGAGGAAUACCGGUGGCG
This 682-nucleotide ribosomal RNA is filed under the name uncultured bacterium. RNAcentral describes it as "bacterial SSU rRNA". It matches the Rfam family "Bacterial small subunit ribosomal RNA", at positions 43 to 717 of the family's 1533-position model. The record is from RNAcentral.